RNAcentral lists this ribosomal RNA (504 nucleotides) under Shigella sonnei. RNAcentral describes it as "partial 23S ribosomal RNA". It matches the Rfam family "Bacterial large subunit ribosomal RNA", at positions 474 to 978 of the family's 2925-position model. The record is from RNAcentral. Lineage: Bacteria; Pseudomonadati; Pseudomonadota; Gammaproteobacteria; Enterobacterales; Enterobacteriaceae.
UCCUGACUGACCGAUAGUGAACCAGUACCGUGAGGGAAAGGCGAAAAGAACCCCGGCGAGGGGAGUGAAAAAGAACCUGAAACCGUGUACGUACAAGCAGUGGGAGCACGCUUAGGCGUGUGACUGCGUACCUUUUGUAUAAUGGGUCAGCGACUUAUAUUCUGUAGCAAGGUUAACCGAAUAGGGGAGCCGAAGGGAAACCGAGUCUUAACUGGGCGUUAAGUUGCAGGGUAUAGACCCGAAACCCGGUGAUCUAGCCAUGGGCAGGUUGAAGGUUGGGUAACACUAACUGGAGGACCGAACCGACUAAUGUUGAAAAAUUAGCGGAUGACUUGUGGCUGGGGGUGAAAGGCCAAUCAAACCGGGAGAUAGCUGGUUCUCCCCGAAAGCUAUUUAGGUAGCGCCUCGUGAAUUCAUCUCCGGGGGUAGAGCACUGUUUCGGCAAGGGGGUCAUCCCGACUUACCAACCCGAUGCAAACUGCGAAUACCGGAGAAUGUUAUCAC